GUGGAUCCCCCAGCGGGGCGACGUCGUUUUCACUGCUCCAACCUCACCGUUGUCCCCCGCUCAAUCAAAGAAGAACAGUGGCGAUGAAAAACUCUCGAUAAAAAGAAGAGCGAAAGCGAGCCAGUCGGGUGCGGACGUGAAGCCCCCGCGUACUUAAAUCCGCCUCAAUCCCCACUCUCAGAUCCGUCUCCUCCUUCUCUCCUCUCCAUUUCUGCUCCCUGCUCCCUGCCCAUCUUGGAUUUGAAUCCCCUCUCGCCUUCAAGCGCGAGCCUUUGCCGUUCUUUCGGCUCGAUCGAAUCCGACCCAGAAGACAGCAUCCGCCGUUCGCGCUCCGGGUGCUCGAAAG
This 346-nucleotide long non-coding RNA is filed under the name Eucalyptus grandis. RNAcentral describes it as "long non-coding RNA (EGRA_LNC007374)". The record is from RNAcentral. Lineage: Eukaryota; Viridiplantae; Streptophyta; Magnoliopsida; Myrtales; Myrtaceae.